Small nucleolar RNA from Acomys russatus (golden spiny mouse), 140 nucleotides. RefSeq annotates it as small nucleolar RNA SNORA48. The record is from RefSeq and is a predicted model, not a curated record. The transcript has a single exon. Lineage: Eukaryota; Metazoa; Chordata; Mammalia; Rodentia; Muridae.
UGGUAAUGGGCAAAGAGACACCUUGUUGUUGGUGUUGCUCUUAUAUAUCAGUCAGGGACAGAGCAGAUGACAGUUCUUUAUUCAUCCUAGUUUGAUUCCUGGUUUGGUGGGCAAAGCUGUUUUAUGCAUAGGACACACAG